RNAcentral lists this ribosomal RNA (497 nucleotides) under uncultured bacterium. RNAcentral describes it as "partial 16S ribosomal RNA". It matches the Rfam family "Bacterial small subunit ribosomal RNA", at positions 28 to 507 of the family's 1533-position model. The record is from RNAcentral.
GAUGAACGCUGGCGGCGUGCCUAAUACAUGCAAGUCGAGCGAACAGAUGAGGAGCUUGCUCCUCUGACGUUAGCGGCGGACGGGUGAGUAACACGUGGAUAACCUACCUAUAAGACUGGGAUAACUUCGGGAAACCGGAGCUAAUACCGGAUAAUAUAUUGAACCGCAUGGUUCAAUAGUGAAAGACGGUUUUGCUGUCACUUAUAGAUGGAUCCGCGCCGCAUUAGCUAGUUGGUAAGGUAACGGCUUACCAAGGCAACGAUGCGUAGCCGACCUGAGAGGGUGAUCGGCCACACUGGAACUGAGACACGGUCCAGACUCCUACGGGAGGCAGCAGUAGGGAAUCUUCCGCAAUGGGCGAAAGCCUGACGGAGCAACGCCGCGUGAGUGAUGAAGGUCUUCGGAUCGUAAAACUCUGUUAUUAAGGAAGAACAAAUGUGUAAGUAACUAUGCACGUCUUGACGGUACCUAAUCAGAAAGCCACGGCUAACUACGUG